CGGCAGGCCUAACACAUGCAAGUCGAACGCCCUAGCAAUAGGGAGUGGCAGACGGGUGAGUAACACGUGGGAACCUUCCCUAUAGUACGGAAUAGCUCAGGGAAACUUGAAGUAAUACCGUAUACGCCCGAGAGGGGAAAGAUUUAUCGCUAUAGGAUGGGCCCGCGUCGGAUUAGCUAGUUGGUGAGGUAAUGGCUCACCAAGGCGACGAUCCGUAGCUGGUUUGAGAGAACGACCAGCCACACUGGGACUGAGACACGGCCCAGACUCCUACGGGAGGCAGCAGUGGGGAAUAUUGGACAAUGGGCGCAAGCCUGAUCCAGCCAUGCCGCGUGAGUGAUGAAGGCCUUAGGGUUGUAAAGCUCUUUUAGCAGGGAAGAUAAUGACUGUACCUGCAGAAUAAGCUCCGGCUAACUUCGUG
Molecule: ribosomal RNA, 421 nt
Filed under: uncultured bacterium
Lineage: Bacteria
Description: bacterial SSU rRNA
Rfam family: Bacterial small subunit ribosomal RNA
Source: RNAcentral